This 49-nucleotide transfer RNA is filed under the name Scatoglyphus polytrematus. Its description in RNAcentral is "tRNA-Val". The record is from RNAcentral. Lineage: Eukaryota; Metazoa; Arthropoda; Arachnida; Sarcoptiformes; Acaridae.
UUUAGAGUUUUUUAUCUUGCUUACAACAAGUUAUUUGUUAACUCUUGAU